Molecule: long non-coding RNA, 721 nt
Organism: Lates calcarifer (barramundi perch)
Lineage: Eukaryota; Metazoa; Chordata; Actinopteri; Centropomidae
Exons: 3
Source: RefSeq, a predicted model, not a curated record
UCAGUGUUAGUUGAGUGUGCUCUCCUGUGUGUUCCACUGUUUAUCUGGAUUGCUUGUGUUUUGGACUUACCUUCGUCUUCUUUUGGAUUUGUUGUUAACCUCACCACCUCCACCAUCACCAUUAGCCUUUCAUUCUCCUUUUGUUGCAGUAAAUGUCUGGAUUGCUUCAACACAUCCUGCUCCCCUAGCCCCAACUGUAACAAAAAGUUUAGGUGUUUACCAGCUUUAUGUGAUGCCGAGAUUACCUCUGCCAUUGUCCAGCUGCGCGGGUUGGUGAGGCAACCAAGCGUGUCCAUAGAAACACGGUUCAGGGUCCACCAACCACAGCAAGACUGAAAGUAAGACUGACUAAGACUGACACACAGCACUCUCUCGUCUCUGACCCGGUCAGCUCGGCCACAUCGCUCACCUGAACACCAAAGAAUCAUUUCUAGAGCACCACUUGUUUAAGGACAGAUCCAAAGUGAGGCCUCGGCUUAGUUCAGGCUGUGGUCCAUGCAAGAAGAUUGGGACAAAAACAUCUGCUGAAUUAAUGUAAUUCUGAAUAUUUGACAUUCCACACAAGGUUUCUGAUGCAUAGAACAUAUAUAGUUGUUAACUUGAUGAUACAGUAUAACUCUUUGAGUCUCUACAUGAUGAUUAAAACACAGAUUAUAUGAUCAGUGUAUGUAUGUUUGUGAGUUCUUUUAAAUUUUAGGCCAUGAGAGUGAUGUAACUUCUU